UACGAAGGGGGCUAGCGUUGCUCGGAAUCACUGGGCGUAAAGGGUGCGUAGGCGGGUCUUUAAGUCAGGGGUGAAAUCCUGGAGCUCAACUCCAGAACUGCCUUUGAAACUGUACGGCUUGAGGCCGGGAGGGGGUAGCGGAAUUCCCAGUGUAGCGGUGAAAUGCGUAGAUACUGGGAGGAACACCAGUGGCGAAGGCGGCUACCUGGACCGGUUCUGACGCUGAGGCGCGAAAGCGUGGGUAGCAAACAGG
This 253-nucleotide ribosomal RNA is filed under the name uncultured bacterium. RNAcentral describes it as "partial 16S ribosomal RNA". It matches the Rfam family "Bacterial small subunit ribosomal RNA", at positions 524 to 776 of the family's 1533-position model. The record is from RNAcentral.